This is a long non-coding RNA of Priapulus caudatus, 439 nucleotides long. RefSeq lists it as uncharacterized. Lineage: Eukaryota; Metazoa; Priapulida; Priapulimorpha; Priapulimorphida; Priapulidae. The transcript is spliced from 3 exons. The record is from RefSeq and is a predicted model, not a curated record.
GCAUCGGCGAUCGAUCUGGGCAGCAUCCCGCAUGCUGCACGUACAUUGACCGAGUGAGUGAGAAGCCUUCACCGGUUUUCCACAGCCUCCGCAUCCCAAGGCUAGUAGCUUCUGCAUCUUUGCUGCAAGAGACCGAGAAAUUUGAAUGCGAAAAACUGUCACGAAAACACGUCAUAGACGGCUACCGCUAGUCGCACGCAGCAUUCGUAAGCAUCUCGGUGCGGUUCAAUGAACUAGGACUAGGACUAGGAGUAGGGAUAGUCUGUAGUGAGUCACCGAUGUUCUGCUGGCCGAUAUUUACGAUCUGACAGGCGGCAGACUGCCGCAGCAAACUGUACUAUACGGGCAGCUGCCAGAGAAUUAACGUGCGGCGGUGUUUAUAUUGUAAACAGGUGGAACGUUGGUUUAUAGCAGCAUGGCAGGCAUAGGAGAACAUGCG